This 1851-nucleotide ribosomal RNA is filed under the name Silvaninae sp. UPOL 002046. RNAcentral describes it as "SSU rRNA". It matches the Rfam family "Eukaryotic small subunit ribosomal RNA". The record is from RNAcentral. Lineage: Eukaryota; Metazoa; Arthropoda; Insecta; Coleoptera; Silvanidae.
UUGUCUCAAAGAUUAAGCCAUGCAUGUCUCAGUACAAACCAAAUUAAGGUGAAACCGCGAAAGGCUCAUUAAAUCAGUUAUGGUUCCUUAGAUCGUACCACACAUUUACUUGGAUAACUGUGGUAAUUCUAGAGCUAAUACAUGCAAACAGAGUUCCGACCGGAAACGGAAGGAGCGCUUUUAUUAGAUCAAAACCAAUCGGUAGCGAGCGUUCGCGCUCGUUAUCGUACACUUUGGUGACUCUGAAUAACUUUAUGCUGAUCGCAUGGUCUUGCACCGGCGACGCAUCUUUCAAAUGUCUGCCUUAUCAACUGUCGAUGGUAGGUUCUGCGCCUACCAUGGUUGUAACGGGUAACGGGGAAUCAGGGUUCGAUUCCGGAGAGGGAGCCUGAGAAACGGCUACCACAUCCAAGGAAGGCAGCAGGCGCGCAAAUUACCCACUCCCGGCACGGGGAGGUAGUGACGAAAAAUAACGAUACAAGACUCAUCCGAGGCCUUGUAAUCGGAAUGAGUACACUCUAAAGCCUUUAACGAGGAUCAAUUGGAGGGCAAGUCUGGUGCCAGCAGCCGCGGUAAUUCCAGCUCCAAUAGCGUAUAUUAAAGUUGUUGCGGUUAAAAAGCUCGUAGUCGAAUCUGUGUCCCACGCCGCUGGUUCAUCGUUCGCGGUGUUAACUGGCGUGUUGUGGGACGUCCUGCCGGUGGGCUUAGCUCGCAAGGGCGGCUCAAUUUAAUCCUGCCGCGGUGCUCUUCACUGAGUGUCGAGGUGGGCCGGCACAUUUACUUUGAACAAAUUAGAGUGCUUAAAGCAGGCUAAAAUUUUGCCUGAAUAUUCUGUGCAUGGAAUAAUGGAAUAGGACCUCGAUUCUAUUUUGUUGGUUUUCGGAACAUCGAGGUAAUGAUUAAUAGGAACGGAUGGGGGCAUUCGUAUUGCGACGUUAGAGGUGAAAUUCUUGGAUCGUCGCAAGACGGACUUAAGCGAAAGCAUUUGCCAAAAACGUUUUCAUUGAUCAAGAACGAAAGUUAGAGGUUCGAAGGCGAUCAGAUACCGCCCUAGUUCUAACCAUAAACGAUGCCAGCUAGCGAUCCGCCGACGUUCCUCCGAUGACUCGGCGGGCAGCUUCCGGGAAACCAAAGCUUUUGGGUUCCGGGGGAAGUAUGGUUGCAAAGCUGAAACUUAAAGGAAUUGACGGAAGGGCACCACCAGGAGUGGAGCCUGCGGCUUAAUUUGACUCAACACGGGAAACCUCACCAGGCCCAGACACCGGAAGGAUUGACAGAUUGAGAGCUCUUUCUUGAUUCGGUGGGUGGUGGUGCAUGGCCGUUCUUAGUUGGUGGAGCGAUUUGUCUGGUUAAUUCCGAUAACGAACGAGACUCUAGCCUGCUAAAUAGGCGUAUUUCGACAUCCUAAAGGCUCGCCUUCGUAUUUUGGGUCACGAGGCUCAUGUGCGUUGUGCGCAGUUUUUACUGUCGGCGUAUUAAUUAAUCUUCUUAGAGGGACAGGCGGCUUCUAGCCGCACGAGAUUGAGCAAUAACAGGUCUGUGAUGCCCUUAGAUGUUCUGGGCCGCACGCGCGCUACACUGAAGGAAUCAGCGUGUCCUCCCUGACCGAAUGGUCCGGGUAACCCGCUGAACCUCCUUCGUGCUAGGGAUUGGGGCUUGCAAUUGUUCCCCAUGAACGAGGAAUUCCCAGUAAGCGCGAGUCAUAAGCUCGCGUUGAUUACGUCCCUGCCCUUUGUACACACCGCCCGUCGCUACUACCGAUUGAAUGAUUUAGUGAGGUCUUCGGACUGGUACGAGUUGGUACUUCGGUAUUGGCUCUGUUGCUGGGAAGAUGACCAAACUUGAUCAUUU